CGCUGAACUUAAGCAUAUCAAUAAGCGGAGGAAAAGAAACUAACAAGGAUUCCCCUAGUAACGGCGAGUGAAGCGGGAAGAGCUCAAGCUUAAAAUCUCUGCGCAAGUUUUGCGUGGCGAAUUGUAGUCUAUAGACGCGGCAUCAGUGCGGCCGCUCGGGGUAAGUUCCUUGGAAGAGGACAGCAAUGAGGGUGAUACUCCCGUUUGUACCCGAGUGUGUUGCACGUACGAUACGUGUUCUUUGAGUCGCGUUGUUUGGGAAUGCAGCGCAAAGUAGGUGGUAAAUUCCAUCUAAAGCUAAAUAUUGGUGCGAGACCGAUAGCGAACAAGUACCGUGAGGGAAAGAUGAAAAGAACUUUGAAAAGAGAGUUAAAGAGUACCUGAAACUGCUGAAAGGGAACCGGGUCGUUGCCAGUGUCUAUAAUCCGCUGCAUAUUUCAUUGCUGUGCGAGUCCGUGUCGCGUGUUGGAAUCAGUAAAUUMUGUUUUGCUGGACCGCGCGUGUCUGUGGGUUUGGUCGGCGGUGCCCUGUGCGGCGGUGGGACGUCAGAGUCAGUUCGUUAUGCUGCGGGAAAUGGCUGUCGAGGAGGUAGGUCAGGAGCUUUGCUUUUGGCUUUUUAUAUCUUGGCGUGCUAGUUGUCGUGGUUGGGACUGAGGUGCCUUACAACGUGUCUUUUGGAGUGCGUGUGCGUCUCUGUGUGCGUCCGGAUUGGAUAGCUUGCUAUGCAGUUUUGGAUGGUGUGUGGAUUGAUGCGUGCGUUAACUUUUGACCGUUCGGGACUUUGACGAAAUGGCGCGAUCCGACCCGUCUUGAAACACGGACCAAGGAGUCUAACAUGUGUGCAAGUGUUAGGGUGUGGAAACCCAAGCGCGAAAUGAAAGUAAAGGGCGGCUUUAUUGCUGUCUGAGGUAGGAAACCCUUGCUCGUCAGGGGUGGCACUAUCGACCGAUCAUGAUCCCUCGUGGUGAAAGAUUUGAGUAUGAGCACAUAUGUUGGUACCCGAAAGAUGGUGAACUAUGCCUGAGUAGGGUGAAGCCAGGGGAAACUCUGGUGGAAGCUCGUAGCGAUUCUGACGUGCAAAUCGAUCGUCAAACUUGGGUAUAGGGGCGAAAGACUAAUCGAACCAUCUAGUAGCUGGUUCCCUCCGAAAUUUCCCUCAGGAUAGCAGCAACUUAUUUACGAUAGUUUUAUGAGGUAAAGCGAAUGAUUAGAGGCCUCGGGGAAGAAACUUCCUUGACCUAUUCUCAAACUUUAAAUCUGUAAGACCUGCAGGUUUCUUAAUUGAACUUGUGGAUGUGAAUAUCAAGUUGCUAGUGGGCCAUACGGGGUAAGCUCGUCUGGCG
This 1343-nucleotide ribosomal RNA is filed under the name Phytopythium carbonicum. RNAcentral's name for it is "eukaryotic LSU rRNA". It matches the Rfam family "Eukaryotic large subunit ribosomal RNA", at positions 26 to 1155 of the family's 3401-position model. The record is from RNAcentral. Lineage: Eukaryota; Oomycota; Peronosporomycetes; Pythiales; Pythiaceae.